Molecule: transfer RNA, 64 nt
Filed under: Mikadonius gracilis
Lineage: Eukaryota; Metazoa; Arthropoda; Insecta; Coleoptera; Melandryidae
Description: tRNA-Ala
Source: RNAcentral
AGGAUAAUAGUUAAAACUAUAACAUUUAAUUUGCAAUUAAAAAUUAUUUUUAAAAUUUAUCUUA